GACGAACGCUGGCGGCGUGCUUAACACAUGCAAGUCGAACGGAAAGGCCCUGCUUUUGUGGGGUGCUCGAGUGGCGAACGGGUGAGUAACACGUGAGUAACCUGCCCUUUACUUGGGGAUAACUUCAGGAAACUGGGGCUAAUACCGGAUAGGAGCUCCUGCUGCAUGGUGGGGGUUGGAAAGGUUCGGCGGUUGGGGUUGGAGUCGCGGCUUAUCAGCUUGUUGGUGGGGUAGUGGCUUACCAAGGCUUUGACGGGUCGCCGGCCUGAGAGGGUGACCGGCGACAUUGGGACUGAGGUACGGAGCAGUAUCCUACGGGAGGCAGCAGUGGGAAAUCUUGCACAAUGGGCGGAAGUGAGAUACAAAAACGCUGGGAGCGGGAUGACGGGUUUCGGGUUGUAAACCGCUUUCGGCUGUGACGAAGCGCGCGUGACGGUAAUGGGUAAAGAAGCACCGGCUAACUACGUG
Molecule: ribosomal RNA, 468 nt
Filed under: uncultured bacterium
Lineage: Bacteria
Description: partial 16S ribosomal RNA
Rfam family: Bacterial small subunit ribosomal RNA
Source: RNAcentral